This 1834-nucleotide ribosomal RNA is filed under the name Escherichia coli. RNAcentral's name for it is "partial 23S ribosomal RNA". It matches the Rfam family "Bacterial large subunit ribosomal RNA", at positions 344 to 2167 of the family's 2925-position model. The record is from RNAcentral. Lineage: Bacteria; Pseudomonadati; Pseudomonadota; Gammaproteobacteria; Enterobacterales; Enterobacteriaceae.
GGAAAGGCGCGCGAUACAGGGUGACAGCCCCGUACACAAAAAUGCACAUGCUGUGAGCUCGAUGAGUAGGGCGGGACACGUGGUAUCCUGUCUGAAUAUGGGGGGACCAUCCUCCAAGGCUAAAUACUCCUGACUGACCGAUAGUGAACCAGUACCGUGAGGGAAAGGCGAAAAGAACCCCGGCGAGGGGAGUGAAAAAGAACCUGAAACCGUGUACGUACAAGCAGUGGGAGCACGCUUAGGCGUGUGACUGCGUACCUUUUGUAUAAUGGGUCAGCGACUUAUAUUCUGUAGCAAGGUUAACCGAAUAGGGGAGCCGAAGGGAAACCGAGUCUUAACUGGGCGUUAAGUUGCAGGGUAUAGACCCGAAACCCGGUGAUCUAGCCAUGGGCAGGUUGAAGGUUGGGUAACACUAACUGGAGGACCGAACCGACUAAUGUUGAAAAAUUAGCGGAUGACUUGUGGCUGGGGGUGAAAGGCCAAUCAAACCGGGAGAUAGCUGGUUCUCCCCGAAAGCUAUUUAGGUAGCGCCUCGUGAAUUCAUCUCCGGGGGUAGAGCACUGUUUCGGCAAGGGGGUCAUCCCGACUUACCAACCCGAUGCAAACUGCGAAUACCGGAGAAUGUUAUCACGGGAGACACACGGCGGGUGCUAACGUCCGUCGUGAAGAGGGAAACAACCCAGACCGCCAGCUAAGGUCCCAAAGUCAUGGUUAAGUGGGAAACGAUGUGGGAAGGCCCAGACAGCCAGGAUGUUGGCUUAGAAGCAGCCAUCAUUUAAAGAAAGCGUAAUAGCUCACUGGUCGAGUCGGCCUGCGCGGAAGAUGUAACGGGGCUAAACCAUGCACCGAAGCUGCGGCAGCGACACUAUGUGUUGUUGGGUAGGGGAGCGUUCUGUAAGCCUGUGAAGGUGUACUGUGAGGUAUGCUGGAGGUAUCAGAAGUGCGAAUGCUGACAUAAGUAACGAUAAAGCGGGUGAAAAGCCCGCUCGCCGGAAGACCAAGGGUUCCUGUCCAACGUUAAUCGGGGCAGGGUGAGUCGACCCCUAAGGCGAGGCCGAAAGGCGUAGUCGAUGGGAAACAGGUUAAUAUUCCUGUACUUGGUGUUACUGCGAAGGGGGGACGGAGAAGGCUAUGUUGGCCGGGCGACGGUUGUCCCGGUUUAAGCGUGUAGGCUGGUUUUCCAGGCAAAUCCGGAAAAUCAAGGCUGAGGCGUGAUGACGAGGCACUACGGUGCUGAAGCAACAAAUGCCCUGCUUCCAGGAAAAGCCUCUAAGCAUCAGGUAACAUCAAAUCGUACCCCAAACCGACACAGGUGGUCAGGUAGAGAAUACCAAGGCGCUUGAGAGAACUCGGGUGAAGGAACUAGGCAAAAUGGUGCCGUAACUUCGGGAGAAGGCACGCUGAUAUGUAGGUGAAGUCCCUCGCGGAUGGAGCUGAAAUCAGUCGAAGAUACCAGCUGGCUGCAACUGUUUAUUAAAAACACAGCACUGUGCAAACACGAAAGUGGACGUAUACGGUGUGACGCCUGCCCGGUGCCGGAAGGUUAAUUGAUGGGGUCAGCGCAAGCGAAGCUCUUGAUCGAAGCCCCGGUAAACGGCGGCCGUAACUAUAACGGUCCUAAGGUAGCGAAAUUCCUUGUCGGGUAAGUUCCGACCUGCACGAAUGGCGUAAUGAUGGCCAGGCUGUCUCCACCCGAGACUCAGUGAAAUUGAACUCGCUGUGAAGAUGCAGUGUACCCGCGGCAAGACGGAAAGACCCCGUGAACCUUUACUAUAGCUUGACACUGAACAUUGAGCCUUGAUGUGUAGGAUAGGUGGGAGGCUUUGAAGUGUGG